RNAcentral lists this ribosomal RNA (424 nucleotides) under uncultured Ochrobactrum sp. RNAcentral describes it as "bacterial SSU rRNA". It matches the Rfam family "Bacterial small subunit ribosomal RNA", at positions 962 to 1382 of the family's 1533-position model. Lineage: Bacteria; Pseudomonadati; Pseudomonadota; Alphaproteobacteria; Hyphomicrobiales; Brucellaceae. The record is from RNAcentral.
CGAAGAACCUUACCAGGCCUUGACAUACCGGUCGCGGACACAGAGAUGUGUCUUUCAGUUCGGCUGGACCGGAUACAGGUGCUGCAUGGCUGUCGUCAGCUCGUGUCGUGAGAUGUUGGGUUAAGUCCCGCAACGAGCGCAACCCUCGCCCUUAGUUGCCAGCAUUUAGUUGGGCACUCUAAGGGGACUGCCGGUGAUAAGCCGAGAGGAAGGUGGGGAUGACGUCAAGUCCUCAUGGCCCUUACGGGCUGGGCUACACACGUGCUACAAUGGUGGUGACAGUGGGCAGCGAGCACGCGAGUGUGAGCUAAUCUACCAAAAGCCAUCUCAGUUCGGAUUGCACUCUGCAACUCGAGUGCAUGAAGUUGGAAUCGCUAGUAAUCGCGGAUCAGCAUGCCGCGGUGAAUACCGGUUCCCGGGCCUU